CACGUAGGGCGCAAGCGUUGUCCGGAAUUAUUGGGCGUAAAGAGCUCGUAGGCGGUCUGUUGCGUCCGCUGUGAAAACUCGGGGCUUAACCCCGAGCCUGCAGUGGAUACGGGCAGACUAGAGGUAGGUAGGGGAGAAUGGAAUUCCCGGUGUAGUGGUGAAAUGCGUAGAUAUCGGGAGGAACACCAGUGGCGAAGGCGACUACCUGGCCUGUUCUUGACGCUGAGGCGCGAAAGCUAGGGGAGCAAACGGG
This 253-nucleotide ribosomal RNA is filed under the name uncultured bacterium. Its description in RNAcentral is "partial 16S ribosomal RNA". It matches the Rfam family "Bacterial small subunit ribosomal RNA", at positions 524 to 776 of the family's 1533-position model. The record is from RNAcentral.